UCCCUGGUGGCUCAGAGGGUAAGGUAUCUGCUUGCAAUGCGGGAGACCCAGGUUCGAUCCCUGGGUUGGGAA
RNAcentral lists this transfer RNA (72 nucleotides) under Ovis aries (sheep). It matches the Rfam family "tRNA". Rfam says of the family: Transfer RNA (tRNA) molecules are approximately 80 nucleotides in length. Their secondary structure includes four short double-helical elements and three loops (D, anti-codon, and T loops). The record is from Rfam by way of RNAcentral. Lineage: Eukaryota; Metazoa; Chordata; Mammalia; Artiodactyla; Bovidae.